Long non-coding RNA from Eurytemora carolleeae, 317 nucleotides. RefSeq lists it as uncharacterized. Lineage: Eukaryota; Metazoa; Arthropoda; Copepoda; Calanoida; Temoridae. The transcript is spliced from 3 exons. The record is from RefSeq and is a predicted model, not a curated record.
UCUGUUUCUAGUCAGUUAGAUUAGAUAUUUUGAUAUAGACUGUUGUGAAUUGCUUACGACACAUUAAGAUUGAACCUGUAUCUUCAUUAUCAAGAGCACUGUUACUAUCGAGGAGAGAUUCUAAAAGAAGUAGAGUUGUAUCCAAGAGAGUCUGAGGCUUAAUGAUGGUUGCGAUCACCCAAUAGCAGAUCAUGACAAGGAUGGUAUGAUGAAUUGAAGGCUCCUGGUGAGAUGAAACUACUAUAGAGUGAACAUGUCUCACAGGAGAACUGUACAGUUUACUAAACGUACUGUACAGUCAAUCAAAAAUGACAGAG